Molecule: ribosomal RNA, 641 nt
Filed under: uncultured bacterium
Lineage: Bacteria
Description: partial 16S ribosomal RNA
Rfam family: Bacterial small subunit ribosomal RNA
Source: RNAcentral
ACUCCAAAAGGGAAAUCGAACGNGGGGCACCNNCACCAAANCGNUGGAGCCAUCGUNGGUUUAAUUUCGAAAGCAANCCGCNAAGAACCCUNACCCNCGGGNUNGGAACUNCCAGUNGCAAGGGCUCANGAGAUGAGUCCCCUCCCUUUCGGGGAUCCAAUGGAGNGGUGCCGGNAUGGCUGUCGUCAGCUCNUGUCGUGNAGAUGANUGGGUUAAGUCCCGCAACGAGCGCAACCCUUGUCCAUAGUUACUAACGGGUCAUGNCCGAGAACUCUAUGGAGAGUNGCCGGUGAUAAACCGGAGGAAGGUGGGGAUGACGUCAAGUCCUCAUGGCCUUUAUGUNCCAGGGCUACACACGUGCUACAAUGGACGGCACAAAGAGUCGCAAAACCGCGAGGUUGAGCUAAUCUCAAAAAACCGUUCUCGGUUCGGAUUGCAGUCUGCAACUCGACUGCAUGAAGCUGGAAUCGCUAGUAAUCGCGGAUCAGCACGCCGCGGUGAAUACGUUCCCGGGCCUUGUACACACCGCCCGUCACAUCACGAAAGUCGGUUGCAGUAGAAGUCGGUGGGGAAACCCGGAAGGGGGGCAGCCGCCUAAGAGUGUGAUCGGUAACUUGGGGUGAAGUCGUAANCAAGGUACC